GGCUUCGUAGUUCAACUGGAUAGAAUAUCGGAUUUCGGCUCCGAGGGUUGGGGGUUCGAACCCCUCCGAAGUCAC
RNAcentral lists this transfer RNA (75 nucleotides) under Chryseobacterium ginsengisoli. RNAcentral's name for it is "tRNA-Arg". It matches the Rfam family "tRNA". From Rfam's summary of the family: Transfer RNA (tRNA) molecules are approximately 80 nucleotides in length. Their secondary structure includes four short double-helical elements and three loops (D, anti-codon, and T loops). Further hydrogen bonds mediate the characteristic L-shaped molecular structure. tRNAs have two regions of fundamental functional importance: the anti-codon, which is responsible for specific mRNA codon recognition, and the 3' end, to which the tRNAs corresponding amino acid is attached (by aminoacyl-tRNA synthetases). tRNAs cope with the degeneracy of the genetic code in two manners: having more than one tRNA (with a specific anti-codon) for a particular amino acid; and 'wobble' base-pairing, i.e. permitting non-standard base-pairing at the 3rd anti-codon position. Lineage: Bacteria; Pseudomonadati; Bacteroidota; Flavobacteriia; Flavobacteriales; Weeksellaceae. RNAcentral also lists the same sequence under 4 other names. The record is from RNAcentral.